Molecule: long non-coding RNA, 215 nt
Organism: Silurus meridionalis
Lineage: Eukaryota; Metazoa; Chordata; Actinopteri; Siluriformes; Siluridae
Exons: 4
Source: RefSeq, a predicted model, not a curated record
AAGCCAGCAGGAGCUUCAGGCCAUUAAGAGCCUUAUGCUACUCAGCAACACUCACAAAAAUGUCAGUGUUGAAAACCAGCUUCUGGCACUUAAAGAAGUGAACACCAGACAAAAUCUGGAAAUCCGAGGCCUGAAAUGCAAAAUCAGCAGCAUGGAGAAAAGCUUUCGCUUAAUGGAGGAAAAACUUUACAAAGUGGAGAACAAGUUGAACAAAG